AUGCUCACUUUGAUAGCACAUCCACUAAAACUGGAACGACAUGGAGAUUAGCAUGUUCUCUGCACAAGGAUGACAUGCAAAUUUGUGAACGCGGUUCAUUUUUU
This 104-nucleotide small nuclear RNA is filed under the name Castor canadensis (American beaver). The record is from RNAcentral. Lineage: Eukaryota; Metazoa; Chordata; Mammalia; Rodentia; Castoridae.